RNAcentral lists this ribosomal RNA (466 nucleotides) under uncultured bacterium. RNAcentral describes it as "partial 16S ribosomal RNA". It matches the Rfam family "Bacterial small subunit ribosomal RNA", at positions 27 to 507 of the family's 1533-position model. The record is from RNAcentral.
GGACGAACGCUGGCGGCGUGCUUAACCCAUGCAAGUCGAACGGUAAGGCUCCAGCUUGCUGGGGUACACGAGUGGCGAACGGGUGAGUAACACGUGGGUGACCUGCCCUGCACUUCGGGAUAAGCCUGGGAAACUGGGUCUAAUACCGGAUAGGACCGCACCGUGAGGGUGUGGUGGAAAGUUUUUUCGGUGUGGGAUGGGCCCGCGGCCUAUCAGCUUGUUGGUGGGGUAAUGGCCUACCAAGGCGGCGACGGGUAGCCGGCCUGAGAGGGUGGACGGCCACAUUGGGACUGAGACACGGCCCAGACUCCUACGGGAGGCAGCAGUGGGGAAUAUUGCACAAUGGGCGGAAGCCUGAUGCAGCGACGCCGCGUGGGGGAUGACGGCCUUCGGGUUGUAAACUCCUUUCACCAUCGACGAAGGGUUUCUGACGGUAGAUGGAGAAGAAGCACCGGCUAACUACGUG